This 902-nucleotide ribosomal RNA is filed under the name uncultured bacterium. Its description in RNAcentral is "bacterial SSU rRNA". It matches the Rfam family "Bacterial small subunit ribosomal RNA", at positions 8 to 796 of the family's 1533-position model. The record is from RNAcentral.
AGAGUUUGAUCCUGGCUCAGGAUGAACGCUGGCGGCGUGCCUAAUACAUGCAAGUCGAGCGGAAAGGCUCUCACAAAGGUUCGAACACAAUUGGCAAUUACCAACGAGCGAUGCACCAUACAUUAGCAAUUAACCAGUAGCGAUUAAGUCGCGCCAUUGUUAAUGGCUAAUCGUUUAUGUAUCGCAAAUGGUAAAUAGUUAAUUGAUACUGUUGGGGUUUUUGUGAGAGUACUCGAGCGGCGGACGGCUGAGUAACGCGUAGGAACGUACCCCAAACUGAGGGAUAAGCACCAGAAAUGGUGUCUAAUACCGCAUGUGCUCCACGGAGUAAAGCUUCGGCGGUUUGGGAACGGCCUGCGUAUGAUUAGCUUGUUGGUGAGGUAAUGGCUCACCAAGGCUUCGAUCAUUAGCUGGUCUGAGAGGAUGAUCAGCCAGACUGGGACUGAGAACGGCCCAGACUCCUACGGGAGGCAGCAGUAGGGAAUUUUCCACAAUGGGCGAAAGCCUGAUGGAGCAACGCCGCGUGCAGGAUGAAUGCCUUCAGGUUGUAAACUGCUUUUAUAUGUGACGAUUAUGACGGUAGCAUAUGAAUAAGGAUCGGCUAACUCCGUGCCAGCAGCCGCGGUCAUACGGAGGAUCCAAGCGUUAUCCGGAAUUACUGGGCGUAAAGAGUUGCGUAGGUGGCAUAGUAAGUUAGUAGUGAAAGCGUCCCGCUCAACGGGAUAUACAUUACUAAAACUGCUAAGCUAGAGGAUGAGAGAGGUUAUUGGAAUUCCUGAUGUAGGGGUAAAAUCCGUUGAUAUUAGGAGGAACACCGAUGGCGUAGGCAGAUAACUGGCUCAUUCCUGACACUCAGGCACGAAAGCGUGGGGAGCAAACAGGAUUAGAUACCCCGGUAGUCC